UGACUUCAGGAUUUGCAUUUCUUUAUUUUCUAGAAACAACAUUAUCCUGAGAUAGCAGAAUCUGGUGAAGUUAAGGGUAAAGGCUCUGAACUGAACAGAAAAGUUAAGCAACUUGCAUUAACAAUUGAGAAGAAAGAAGGACGAAAACAAAUAAAGAUUGUUACAGAUGCUCCAGUAAUGAAGAGAUGGCAAGAACGUAAGUGUGCUCAGUGGGAUGUAAAUUGUACGUUUCUAAUUUGGGUAAAUUCCCUUUGAUCUAAAUCAGCUUGAUUUAAUGCAUGUUUUUAGGUCCUGAUGCAGAUGACAGCCCUUCAAAGGCUAAAGUUCAGCAUGUGGAUACAUCACGUAGUAAUGAAGAAAUAAAAGGCUGUAAAAUUAAGGAUGGAAGAAUGCCAGACCCUAUUCUAGAUUAAAGGAAUGUUCAAGAGCAGCAGGAAAAAAAGUCAGAAAGAACAGGCAAAACCAGACGAGAAGUUUGAACCUAAUAAAGAUAUUGAAAGCAGCAAAGGCAACACAGAUGAAGAGGGCAGCAAAGGGUACAACUCAGAAAAGUGUGAGACCACUAAACUGUGGCAGGAAGACAAUGAGGAAGUUGAGGUAAUAAUUACAGCAAAUCCUGAAGAAUUCAUUAGUCAAGAAGACCUAUUGAGUUAUUUGCAAAGUUUUGAGAUCCUGAAUGAAGAUGAUGCUUCAUUUAUCCUUAAAGUUACACAGACUCUUACAGAUGCACUGGUGGAAUAUCAUCAGCAGGCUACAUGGAACAAAGUAAAGUGGAUUUUAGUUUGGUUUUGUUCUACUAAUCCGUAGAUUUCU
Neopsephotus bourkii (Bourke's parrot) is the source of this 813-nucleotide long non-coding RNA. RefSeq lists it as uncharacterized. The transcript has 7 exons. The record is from RefSeq and is a predicted model, not a curated record. NCBI's taxonomy places the organism in Eukaryota, Metazoa, Chordata, Aves, Psittaciformes, Psittacidae.